GCUCCCUAUUCUGUGAAAGGGGAGGUGGGACAGGAUCCUGUCAGCUUUGACACCAUAGAACGGUGGAGGGAAGGUUUCUCAGUGGCUCCCUCUCCCCUCCUACCCGAUCCCUGCCUUGCUGGUCAGGGCCUGGAAAAUCUCCCUGCAGGCCCCCAUCGCUCCUCGCUGAGCAGCCUGAUGCCCUUCCCCCUGGCAGAGCCAGUACGUCUUCCUGCACAGCUGCCUACUGAACAAGAUUCUGGAAGGGCCCUUCAACAUCUCUGAGUCUUGGCCCAUCUCUGUGAUGAACUUCGCACAGGCGUGUGCCAAGAGGGCAGCCAAUGCCAACGCUGGCUUCUUGAAGGAGUACGAGCUCUUGCUGCAGGCCAUCAAGGACGAGACUGGCUCUUCCGCACCCCUGCCUGGCUAUGAGCAGGACAGCCCCUUCUCCUGGUGGGCCCUCUGGCUGUGAUCAUAUGGUGCUGACUGGCCUCGCACGGCCAGAGGAGCUCUGGGAGCUGGUGUGGCAGCACGGGGCUCAUGUGCUUGUCUCUCUGUGCCCACUCGAUGCCAUGGAGAAGGUCAGUUGCAGCAAGGGUGCGACCCAGCUGGGCACCUUCCUGGCCAUGGAGCAGCUGCUGCAGCAGGCAGGGUCUGAGUGCACCGUGGAAGUCUUUAACGUGGCCCUGCAGCAGUCUCAGGCCUGUGACCUUAUGACCCCAACGCUGAAGCAGUAUAUCUACCUCUACAAUUGUCUGAACAGCGCACUGGCAGACGGGCUGCCCCUGAGUCGGCACUGGUCACUGUGCAGGAGAGGUUUGUGCCCUGUAGGAUGGGGACAGCAUUCCUGACACAUCCGCGUGGGCCUGGGCUCCCCGGAAGGGCGGCCUCCACUGGGCCCUGUGCUGCGAAGGUAAAGGGUCUUGGAAUAAAGACCUGUGGCCAAGCGUGAA
RNAcentral lists this small RNA (932 nucleotides) under Pan troglodytes (chimpanzee). Its description in RNAcentral is "processed transcript". The record is from RNAcentral. Lineage: Eukaryota; Metazoa; Chordata; Mammalia; Primates; Hominidae.